This 667-nucleotide ribosomal RNA is filed under the name uncultured Bacteroidales bacterium. RNAcentral's name for it is "bacterial SSU rRNA". It matches the Rfam family "Bacterial small subunit ribosomal RNA", at positions 49 to 703 of the family's 1533-position model. The record is from RNAcentral. Lineage: Bacteria; Pseudomonadati; Bacteroidota; Bacteroidia; Bacteroidales.
UAACACAUGCAAGUCGAGGGGCAGCAUGGUCUUAGCUUGCUAAGGCUGAUGGCGACCGGCGCACGGGUGAGUAACACGUAUCCAACCUGCCGUCUACUCUUGGCCAGCCUUCUGAAAGGAAGAUUAAUCCAGGAUGGGAUCAUGAGUUCACAUGUCCGCAUGAUUAAAGGUAUUUUCCGGUAGACGAUGGGGAUGCGUUCCAUUAGAUAGUAGGCGGGGUAACGGCCCACCUAGUCAACGAUGGAUAGGGGUUCUGAGAGGAAGGUCCCCCACAUUGGAACUGAGACACGGUCCAAACUCCUACGGGAGGCAGCAGUGAGGAAUAUUGGUCAAUGGGCGAUGGCCUGAACCAGCCAAGUAGCGUGAAGGAUGACUGCCCUAUGGGUUGUAAACUUCUUUUAUAAAGGAAUAAAGUCGGGUAUGCAUACCCGUUUGCAUGUACUUUAUGAAUAAGGAUCGGCUAACUCCGUGCCAGCAGCCGCGGUAAUACGGAGGAUCCGAGCGUUAUCCGGAUUUAUUGGGUUUAAAGGGAGCGUAGGUGGACAUGUAAGUCAGUUGUGAAAGUUUGCGGCUCAACCGUAAAAUUGCAGUUGAUACUGCGUGUCUUGAGUACAGUAGAGGUGGGCGGAAUUCGUGGUGUAGCGGUGAAAUGCUUAGAUAUCACGAA